UUCUCCAAAUGAUUUAUUUCAAAUAAAACAUUAAAAUGAAUAGACUAAAGGUUUACACUUGUGUUUAUAAUAACAAUAACCAGGCCUCGAGCUUUAAUCUUCUCAAAUUGGAAGAUUUAAAUAUGCAAACAGGAACAUGACCCCAAUGAAGGAAACCAAAGGGGAAAAAAGGGAGAAAAAGAAGACCACGGUAAAGCCUAGCAUUAAAGAAAUCCAUCCACAGUCAUCGCAAUCCUACAAACAUG
Molecule: unclassified non-coding RNA, 245 nt
Filed under: Hevea brasiliensis (rubber tree)
Lineage: Eukaryota; Viridiplantae; Streptophyta; Magnoliopsida; Malpighiales; Euphorbiaceae
Source: RNAcentral